UUAGUUUGAUCCUGGUCAUAGCUGUUUCCUGACGGCACGUUUUAAGCAUGCAAGUCGAACGGUAGGGAAUGCUUGCAUUUCCGAGAGUGGCGAACGGGUGAGUAACACGUAGAUGAUCUACCUUUUAGUUGGGGAUAGCCCAUGGAAACAUGGAGUAAUACCGAAUAAUCUGUUUGAACUUUGGUUUAAAUAGGAAAGAAGCGUUUGCUUCGCUGAAAGAUGAGUCUGCGCACUAUUAGCUAGUUGGUGGGGUAAGAGCCUACCAAGGCAACGAUAGUUAGCCGACCUGGGAGGGUGAUCGGCCACAUUGGGACUGAGACACGGCCCAGACUCCUACGGGAGGCAGCAGCUAAGAAUCUUCCGCAAUGGACGAAAGUCUGACGGAGCGAUGCCGCGUGGAUGAAGAAUGCAGAGAUGUUGUAAGAUCCUUUUAUGAGUGAGGAAUAAUAGUACUAGGAAAUGAGUAUUAGAUGACGUUAGCUCAUGAAUAAGCUCCGGCCAAUUACGUGCCAGCAGCCGCGGUAACACGUAAGGAGCGAGCGUUGUUCGGAAUUAUUGGGCGUAAAGGGCGUGUAGGCGGUUAAUUAAGUCUUGGUUGAAAUACCGAUGCUCAACAUCGGAAGCGGACA
RNAcentral lists this ribosomal RNA (629 nucleotides) under uncultured bacterium. Its description in RNAcentral is "bacterial SSU rRNA". It matches the Rfam family "Bacterial small subunit ribosomal RNA", at positions 1 to 627 of the family's 1533-position model. The record is from RNAcentral.